UUGGUCCUACGGGAGGCAGCAGUGGGGAAUAUUGCACAAUGGGGGAAACCCUGAUGCAGCAACGCCGCGUGAGUGAAGAAGUAUUUCGGUAUGUAAAGCUCUAUCAGCAGGGAAGAAGAUGACGGUACCUGAUUAAGAAGCCCCGGCUAACUACGUGCCAGCAGCCGCGGUAAUACGUAGGGGGUAAGCGUUAUCCGGAUUUACUGGGUGUAAAGGGAGCGUAGACGGCAGUGCAAGUCUGGCGUGAAAGCCUGGGGCCAAAC
RNAcentral lists this ribosomal RNA (263 nucleotides) under uncultured bacterium. Its description in RNAcentral is "partial 16S ribosomal RNA". It matches the Rfam family "Bacterial small subunit ribosomal RNA", at positions 333 to 613 of the family's 1533-position model. The record is from RNAcentral.